Molecule: ribosomal RNA, 455 nt
Filed under: uncultured Methanomicrobiales archaeon
Lineage: Archaea; Methanobacteriati; Methanobacteriota; Methanomicrobia; Methanomicrobiales
Description: bacterial SSU rRNA
Rfam family: Archaeal small subunit ribosomal RNA
Source: RNAcentral
AACAGGUGGAGCCUGCGGUUUAAUCGGACUCAACGCCGGGAAACUCACCAGAUAAGACAGCUGAAUGAUAGUCGGGCUGAAGACUCUACUUGACUAGCUGAGAGGAGGUGCAUGGCCGUCGUCAGUUCGUACUGUGAAGCAUCCUGUUAAGUCAGGCAACGAGCGAGACCCACGCCAACAGUUGCCAGCUCGUCCUCCGGGAUGGUGGGGACACUGUUGGGACCGCCUCUGCUAAAGAGAGGAAGGAAUGGGCAACGGUAGGUCAGCAUGCCCCGAAUUAUCUGGGCUACACGCGGGCUACAAUGGGUGGGACAAUGGGUAUCGACACCGAAAGGUGAAGGCAAUCUCCUAAACCCAUCCGUAGUUCGGAUUGUGGGCUGCAACUCGCCCACAUGAAGCUGGAAUCUGUAGUAAUCGUGUCUCAAAAUGGCACGGUGAAUAUGUCCCUGCUCCUU